Molecule: ribosomal RNA, 823 nt
Filed under: uncultured Alphaproteobacteria bacterium
Lineage: Bacteria; Pseudomonadati; Pseudomonadota; Alphaproteobacteria
Description: bacterial SSU rRNA
Rfam family: Bacterial small subunit ribosomal RNA
Source: RNAcentral
UGAUCAUGGCUCAGAACGUACGCUGGCGGCACGCCUUAUACAUGCAAGUCGAACGAAGUAGCAAUACUUAGUGGCAGACGGGUGAGUAACAUGUAGGUAUCUUCCCUUUGGUGAGGAAUAACACGAGGAAACUUGUGCUAAUACCUCAUAAGUCUUUACGGAGAAAGCUUUAUGCGCCGAAGGAUGAGCCUGCACUUGAUUAGUUUGUUGGUGGGGUAAUGGCCUACCAAGACUUUGAUCUAUAGCUGAUCUGAGAGGAUGAUCAGCCACAUUGGGACUGAGACACGGCCCAAACUCCUACGGGAGGCAGCAGUAGGGAAUAUUGCACAAUGGAGGAAACUCUGAUGCAGCGAUGCCGCGUGAGUGAAGAAGGCCUUUGGGUUGUAAAGCUCUUUCGUCGGGGAAGAAAAUGACUGUACCCGAAUAAGAAGGUCCGGCUAACUUCGUGCCAGCAGCCGCGGUAAUACGAAGGGACCUAGCGUAGUUCGGAAUUACUGGGCUUAAAGAGUUCGUAGGUGGUUAAAAAAGUUGGUGGUGAAAUCCCAGAGCUUAACUCUGGAACUGCCAUCAAAACUUUUUAGCUAGAGUAUGAUAGAGGAAAGCAGAAUUUCUAGUGUAGAGGUGAAAUUCGUAGAUAUUAGAAAGAAUACCAAUUGCGAAGGCAGCUUUCUGGAUCAUUACUGACGCUGAGGAACGAAAGCAUGGGUAGCGGAGAGGAUUAGAUACCCUCGUAGUCCAUGCCGUAAACGAUGUGUGUUAGACGUUGGAAAUUUAUUUUCAGUGUCGCAGCGAAAGCAUUAAACACACCGCCUGGGGAGUACGA